RNAcentral lists this ribosomal RNA (1363 nucleotides) under uncultured bacterium. RNAcentral describes it as "bacterial SSU rRNA". It matches the Rfam family "Bacterial small subunit ribosomal RNA", at positions 28 to 1381 of the family's 1533-position model. The record is from RNAcentral.
AUUGAACGCUGGCGGCAGGCCUAACACAUGCAAGUCGAACGGUAACAGGAAACAGCUUGCUGUUUCGCUGACGAGUGGCGGACGGGUGAGUAAUGUCUGGGAAACUGCCUGAUGGAGGGGGAUAACUACUGGAAACGGUAGCUAAUACCGCAUAACGUCGCAAGACCAAAGAGGGGGACCUUCGGGCCUCUUGCCAUCAGAUGUGCCCAGAUGGGAUUAGCUAGUAGGUGGGGUAACGGCUCACCUAGGCGACGAUCCCUAGCUGGUCUGAGAGGAUGACCAGCCACACUGGAACUGAGACACGGUCCAGACUCCUACGGGAGGCAGCAGUGGGGAAUAUUGCACAAUGGGCGCAAGCCUGAUGCAGCCAUGCCGCGUGUAUGAAGAAGGCCUUCGGGUUGUAAAGUACUUUCAGCGGGGAGGAAGGGAGUAAAGUUAAUACCUUUGCUCAUUGACGUUACCCGCAGAAGAAGCACCGGCUAACUCCGUGCCAGCAGCCGCGGUAAUACGGAGGGUGCAAGCGUUAAUCGGAAUUACUGGGCGUAAAGCGCACGCAGGCGGUUUGUUAAGUCAGAUGUGAAAUCCCCGGGCUCAACCUGGGAACUGCAUCUGAUACUGGCAAGCUUGAGUCUCGUAGAGGGGGGUAGAAUUCCAGGUGUAGCGGUGAAAUGCGUAGAGAUCUGGAGGAAUACCGGUGGCGAAGGCGGCCCCCUGGACGAAGACUGACGCUCAGGUGCGAAAGCGUGGGGAGCAAACAGGAUUGGAUACCCUGGUAGUCCACGCCGUAAACGAUGUCGACUUGGAGGUUGUGCCCUUGAGGCGUGGCUUCCGGAGCUAACGCGUUAAGUCGACCGCCUGGGGAGUACGGCCGCAAGGUUAAAACUCAAAUGAAUUGACGGGGGCCCGCACAAGCGGUGGAGCAUGUGGUUUAAUUCGAUGCAACGCGAAGAACCUUACCUGGUCUUGACAUCCACGGAAGUUUUCAGAGAUGAGAAUGUGCCUUCGGGAACCGUGAGACAGGUGCUGCAUGGCUGUCGUCAGCUCGUGUUGUGAAAUGUUGGGUUAAGUCCCGCAACGAGCGCAACCCUUAUCCUUUGUUGCCAGCGGUCCGGCCGGGAACUCAAAGGAGACUGCCAGUGAUAAACUGGAGGAAGGUGGGGAUGACGUCAAGUCAUCAUGGCCCUUACGACCAGGGCUACACACGUGCUACAAUGGCGCAUACAAAGAGAAGCGACCUCGCGAGAGCAAGCGGACCUCAUAAAGUGCGUCGUAGUCCGGAUUGGAGUCUGCAACUCGACUCCAUGAAGUCGGAAUCGCUAGUAAUCGUGGAUCAGAAUGCCACGGUGAAUACGUUCCCGGGCCC